CUUCCCUCUCUCUGGUUCGGCCUUAAUACUCGCCCUCUUUUCUUUCUGUUUUCUCCAUUUUUUUCACCAUUAAUUUUAUAUCUUCUCUCCAUCGUUCCUUCUUCCCUUCCAUCGUCUUCUUACUCUCUGCGAAGCUCCUCCUGUUUUUAUCAUCAAUGGCCGGGCAAGAAAAGGGUCGGCCUUUGCCGAAAUUCGGAGAGUGGGAUGUGAAUAAUCCUGCAUCGGCUGACGGAUUUACAGUCAUAUUUGCCAAGGCUAGAGAUGAAAAGAAAUCCAGCGGCACAGCUGCAUCGGCCAAGCCUCCAUCACAAAAGAAUAUACCAAAAUCUGGUGGAUAUAAUCAUCCUCCACCGAAAAAAUGGUUCUGCUGUUUCUAAGAUUGGUAAAAUGGCGAUGGUUUUGGAGCUAUAAAUACACCUUAUAUAGUGGAAUGAAGAUUUUCAUGUGUGCAUGUGGGACUGCAAUUGGGGAGAUUUGUAAUGGAUGAACAUUUUCUUUGUCCCUUCAUUAUUAUAUUUAUGUUGUUUCCUUUUUUUUUUCCAAGCCAGACCAGAAAUCCCUGUUCUCUUCAUGUUUUAUGUAUUCCAGUAGGAAAGAGACAUGAUGAGAAUGAGGACACUGCACUUUUCUUACAUGUACCUGUGUAUAUUUCUUUGAUAACUAAAGUGCUUCUGUGAUUUUGGCUUGAGUCCUUACUCAUUAUUUAAUUAUUUAUUUUUUAAAGUUUUGGGUGA
Long non-coding RNA from Mangifera indica (mango), 734 nucleotides. RefSeq lists it as uncharacterized. The transcript has 3 exons. Lineage: Eukaryota; Viridiplantae; Streptophyta; Magnoliopsida; Sapindales; Anacardiaceae. The record is from RefSeq and is a predicted model, not a curated record.